UAUUUGCUAGAUCUAUAUAUUUAGAGAGAGAGAGAGAGAGAGAGAUAGGCUCUUGUGCUUUCGAAAGUAUGAAAGGCCUCUGUAUUUAUAAGUCAUUUUUUAUGAUAGGACAUUCGGUUCGGCGAUCGAUUUCGUUAGACAUUCGGUUAGGCUAUUGGAACUAUCCAGAAACCAAAUUUCAUAGUUUUUACUUCAUUUAUCUAGUGAACGAUCAAAUAGUUUCAAAAUGAACAGCUGAAAAUAAAAAUCUCAUAAAAAAUAGUAAUAAAAGACUCAAAUUUCAAAUUAGAAGUAUUGAUCUUACUAAUUGAUGUUAAUUAAAUAGAAUUUUUUAUUAAAGUUUCAUGUAAUUUAAUUUUUUCUACACCGUUGAACUGAAAAACAUGCUAUAUCGACCGUUAAAAUAGUCAUUUUUGACACCUUUUAAUCACUUAAUAAAUGAUGUCGAAAAAUUAUGAAAUUUGAUUUUUAAAUAGUUUCAAUAACGUAGAUUAUGUUUAACGAACCCGAUUAUCGAAUCAGAUGCCCUAUUAUCGAAAAUAACUUAUAAGUACGGAGACCUUCAUAUUUAUAUAUAUAUUACGAGCUAUUUUACUCAAGCUUUUGAGUUUGGAAU
Molecule: long non-coding RNA, 616 nt
Filed under: Ananas comosus (pineapple)
Lineage: Eukaryota; Viridiplantae; Streptophyta; Magnoliopsida; Poales; Bromeliaceae
Description: long non-coding RNA (ACOM_LNC030015)
Source: RNAcentral